AGCCCCCUGCGCUGUUCGAGCUUCUGGCCGACGUCCCUGAGCCGAUGCUUUUUUACCCGGGGGUUCUGGUUGAUGCGGGAGUGCAUGUCCGCCUGACGGAAAGCCCGAUGCAUCACAGGAGCCACCACCUUGAACCUUGGGUUCAAGGGCUACCGCCAGUCACGGCAGAACGGGGGGCGC
RNAcentral lists this non-coding RNA (180 nucleotides) under Ketobacter alkanivorans. Its description in RNAcentral is "6S / SsrS RNA". It matches the Rfam family "6S / SsrS RNA". Rfam says of the family: E. coli 6S RNA was the first non coding RNA to be sequenced, but its function was unknown until recently. It consists of 184 nucleotides that fold into an extended hairpin structure with a large single-stranded internal bulge. RNAcentral also lists the same sequence under 1 other name. Lineage: Bacteria; Pseudomonadati; Pseudomonadota; Gammaproteobacteria; Pseudomonadales; Ketobacteraceae. The record is from Rfam by way of RNAcentral.